AUGUUCUCUGCAGAACUGAGUUUUGCAUAGGUUGGGCAAGUGGGACGUAUUCUCGGUAACACAUUCUGCUUCCGCUUGCGUCAGGUCAAAUGUUUACUUGAUGACAUGCUGACAUGCUUGGCACGGAUUGUCAUCUCCUCCGCGUACAGUUUGAAGCGCCGUCUCUCAUCCUGGAGGCUCUGAGAAGCCUGGCGACCGUGAGGAGGUUCGACAUGGCCGUCAUGUUCAUGUCCGCCGCUGAGAAGAAAGUUUUACAAGAAUUAUUUGAUUGUCUCCGCCAUGCCGGCUUGGAGGAUGAAUCUACCCGAGCCCUGCAGAAGAAGUACGAGGUGUGACCGUCUCGUUCACGAGAAGCAAGCAACAAGAUGUCAUCUUGGCCCUUGGAGACGUUUGUUUCUUACAGUAAAGAAAAAGAUGAAAUGUAUUAUUGCUAGGGCAGCUGCAGCCCGGUUGAGCUCUCCAGACUCUUCCACUCAGAACAGCUGGGCCGUGAGCCAAAGCGUUUCUCCUGCCUCAGGUGUCUGUGCUCAGGGUGAAACGGUUCCCUUCUCUGAAGCAGCGGCCUAGCGGCUCUGUAUGCAUGGCAUUUCAGUUACGUCUGCGUUCCAGAGCCGUGGAAGGCCCCGGAAUGGAAAACCCACGACUAUGUAAUAAAACGCAUCCGUUUACGCUGUCUCAUCGUAUGAAUUAUCAUUCAAUUAUAAUCCUCUUAUCGCCCGAGUCUGCCUGUCUGGAAGUCAAAAUAAAUGUCAAGUUCUGUCAGUGCUGACUUGGUAGCCUCUUGUUUUGCGCGAAUUUUGUUCUCUCAUUUUCAUUAAAUUUUUUGAAUUAAAA
This is a long non-coding RNA of Conger conger (European conger), 834 nucleotides long. RefSeq lists it as uncharacterized. NCBI's taxonomy places the organism in Eukaryota, Metazoa, Chordata, Actinopteri, Anguilliformes, Congridae. The transcript is spliced from 3 exons. The record is from RefSeq and is a predicted model, not a curated record.